AGGAAGACGGCCCUACGGGUUGUAAACUGCUUUUGCAGGGGAAUAAACCCCGGUUCGUGAACCGGGUUGAAUGUACCUUGAGAAUAAGGAUCGGCUAACUCCGUGCCAGCAGCCGCGGUAAUACGGAGGAUCCAAGCGUUAUCCGGAUUUAUUGGGUUUAAAGGGUGCGUAGGCGGCUUUUUAAGUCAGGGGUGAAAGACGGUAGCUCAACUAUCGCAGUGCCCUUGAUACUGAAGAGCUUGAAUGUACUUGAGGUAGGCGGAAUGUGACAAGUAGCGGUGAAAUGCAUAGAUAUGUCACAGAACACCAAUUGCGAAGGCAGCUUACUAAAGUAUGAUUGACGCUGAGGCACGAAAGCGUGGGGAUCAAACAGGAUUAGAUACCCUGGUAGUCCACGCCCUAAACGAUGAACACUCGAUGUUGGCGAUAUACGGUCAGCGUCUAAGCGAAAGCGUUAAGUGUUCCACCUGGGGAGUACGCCCGCAAGGGUGAAACUCAAAGGAAUUGACGGGGGCCCGCACAAGCGGAGGAGCAUGUGGUUUAAUUCGAUGAUACGCGAGGAACCUUACCCGGGCUUGAAAGUUAGUGAAUGUGACAGAGACGUCACAGUUCUUCGGAACACGAAACUAGGUGCUGCAUGGCUGUCGUCAGCUCGUGCCGUGAGGUGUUGGGUUAAGUCCCGCAACGAGCGCAACCCCUAUGUUUAGUUGCCAGCAUUUAAGGUGGGGACUCUAAACAGACUGCCUAUGCAAAUAGAGAGGAAGGAGGGGACGACGUCAAGUCAUCAUGGCCCUUACGUCCGGGGCUACACACGUGCUACAAUGGAUGGUACAGAGGGCAGCUACCUGGCAACAGGAUGCCAAUCUCUUAAAGCCAUUCACAGUUCGGAUCGGGGUCUGCAACUCGACCCCGUGAAGUUGGAUUCGCUAGUAAUCGCGUAUCAGCAAUGACGCGGUGAAUACGUUCCCGGGCCUUGUACACACCGCCCGUCAAGCCAUGGAAGCUGGAAGUGCCUGAAGUGCGUAACCGCAAGGA
Molecule: ribosomal RNA, 1035 nt
Filed under: Mucilaginibacter sp.
Lineage: Bacteria; Pseudomonadati; Bacteroidota; Sphingobacteriia; Sphingobacteriales; Sphingobacteriaceae
Description: bacterial SSU rRNA
Rfam family: Bacterial small subunit ribosomal RNA
Source: RNAcentral